AUGGAGCCCUUUUUCUUGGAUUUCCCAACCUCACCGAUUGAAAAUACACGGGGCUUUACUAUGUCUGAAUCAGUACUUCAGCGACUAGAAGAACUAAAAGAGUCGUUGCAUUACGAUAACGGCGUCGAGCGGCGGACGGGUGAGUAAUGCCUAGGAAAUUGCCCUGAUGUGGGGGAUAACCAUUGGAAACGAUGGCUAAUACCGCAUGAUGCCUACGGGCCAAAGAGGGGGACCUUCGGGCCUCUCGCGUCAGGAUAUGCCUAGGUGGGAUUAGCUAGUUGGUGAGGUAAGGGCUCACCAAGGCGACGAUCCCUAGCUGGUCUGAGAGGAUGAUCAGCCACACUGGAACUGAGACACGGUCCAGACUCCUACGGGAGGCAGCAGUGGGGAAUAUUGCACAAUGGGCGCAAGCCUGAUGCAGCCAUGCCGCGUGUGUGAAGAAGGCCUUCGGGUUGUAAAGCACUUUCAGUCGUGAGGAAGGUGGUGUAGUUAAUAGCUGCAUUAUUUGACGUUAGCGACAGAAGAAGCACCGGCUAACUCCGUGCCAGCAGCCGCGGUAAUACGGAGGGUGCGAGCGUUAAUCGGAAUUACUGGGCGUAAAGCGCAUGCAGGUGGUUUGUUAAGUCAGAUGUGAAAGCCCGGGGCUCAACCUCGGAAUAGCAUUUGAAACUGGCAGACUAGAGUACUGUAGAGGGGGGUAGAAUUUCAGGUGUAGCGGUGAAAUGCGUAGAGAUCUGAAGGAAUACCGGUGGCGAAGGCGGCCCCCUGGACAGAUACUGACACUCAGAUGCGAAAGCGUGGGGAGCAAACAGGAUUAGAUACCCUGGUAGUCCACGCCGUAAACGAUGUCUACUUGGAGGUUGUGGCCUUGAGCCGUGGCUUUCGGAGCUAACGCGUUAAGUAGACCGCCUGGGGAGUACGGUCGCAAGAUUAAAACUCAAAUGAAUUGACGGGGGCCCGCACAAGCGGUGGAGCAUGUGGUUUAAUUCGAUGCAACGCGAAGAACCUUACCUACUCUUGACAUCCAGAGAACUUUCCAGAGAUGGAUUGGUGCCUUCGGGAACUCUGAGACAGGUGCUGCAUGGCUGUCGUCAGCUCGUGUUGUGAAAUGUUGGGUUAAGUCCCGCAACGAGCGCAACCCUUAUCCUUGUUUGCCAGCGAGUAAUGUCGGGAACUCCAGGGAGACUGCCGGUGAUAAACCGGAGGAAGGUGGGGACGACGUCAAGUCAUCAUGGCCCUUACGAGUAGGGCUACACACGUGCUACAAUGGCGCAUACAGAGGGCGGCCAACUUGCGAAAGUGAGCGAAUCCCAAAAAGUGCGUCGUAGUCCGGAUUGGAGUCUGCAACUCGACUCCAUGAAGUCGGAAUCGCUAGUAAUCGUGGAUCAGAAUGCCACGGUGAAUACGUUCCCGGGCCUUGUACACACCGCCCGUCACACCAUGGGAGUGGGCUGCAAAAGAAGUAGGUAGUUUAACCUUCGGGGGGACGCUUACCACUUUGUGGUUCAUGACUGGGGUGAAGUCGUAACAAGGUAGCGCUAGGGGAACCUGGCGCUGGAUCACCUCCUUA
This 1570-nucleotide ribosomal RNA is filed under the name Vibrio sp. B511a. Its description in RNAcentral is "bacterial SSU rRNA". It matches the Rfam family "Bacterial small subunit ribosomal RNA". The record is from RNAcentral. Lineage: Bacteria; Pseudomonadati; Pseudomonadota; Gammaproteobacteria; Vibrionales; Vibrionaceae.